CAGUGGGAGGCACACCGAGGGGGAGGUAAAUACGGUUAAUUGCCGAGUUUUGUUGGAGGAAGAAAGCUUCAGUAGAGGGAGCUCAAGACAAUUCUCAUUUUCUUCUUUCUUGAAACUUUCCCUGGAAAGUCUGUCCAGGAGUCUGAUGAUCACAAAUGGUGUAAGGAUGUGAAUAAUUGCUGGAGAGCCGAAAAGGAUGGAUGUCGCUACUGAGUUAUCCCUUUCACCCCUGCAAGAAGCAGAAAUUUCCUGGCAGGUGGUUUCAAUAGCCAGUAGAACCCUGACAGAGAUGACAGAGUGCUUGGAUGGGGAGAGCCAGUGCUAUUUUGCAGAAGCCAAAGAAAGGGAGAACAAAGGGAGACCUACACCUUCUGGAUUACAGGAUCCUGAUUCUGAGUCAAGUCUCAGGAAAAGCUGACCGUUUAAGGAAAUAAAGGCACUUUUAAAAGAAGGCUGUUACACGCUCCUGAAUGACACAAAAGUAGACUGGGGCAGAUGGACAGACGUCUCUUCUUGGUUUGCAUGACUUGGCAUCAUCAAAAUGUCAUUUCUUUCUAGAUUUCACCUUGGAAGAACUUGGAGAGUAGGGAAAUGCAAGCCUGAACGGGUUCACUCAUCUGCCUUUGAAAAACGGCCCUUUCUGCUCAGAACCAGCCAUCAUAGAAGGCUCAUCUUAUCCUGAACAUGUAUCUCUGGACUGGUUAAAAUUGUGUGCCUGCCAUUAACUGACCAGAGACUCAUUUCUGUCAUUUAUAAAAUAGGAGGAAUAAUAACUUGCUAGUCGCUGUAAAUUAAAUAAGUAAAUCUAUUAUA
This is a long non-coding RNA of Canis lupus familiaris (dog), 813 nucleotides long. RefSeq lists it as uncharacterized. The transcript has 5 exons. Lineage: Eukaryota; Metazoa; Chordata; Mammalia; Carnivora; Canidae. The record is from RefSeq and is a predicted model, not a curated record.